Molecule: long non-coding RNA, 206 nt
Organism: Neltuma alba
Lineage: Eukaryota; Viridiplantae; Streptophyta; Magnoliopsida; Fabales; Fabaceae
Exons: 3
Source: RefSeq, a predicted model, not a curated record
AGCCUCCAAUAACCGCUACAAUAUAAACUUAUAUGAACACCACAUCAUUAAGAAAGUUUUGACCUAAUUGAGAGAUGAAUUAGAACCACAUACCUUUUUACAAUUGGUGCUAAUUGGGAAAUGAAAGAAAUCAUAUGGUUAUUUAUACCUCAGUUGUAACUUGACAUUAGCUAAUAAAAACUUAAAUCAUAUGGACACACAGCCAG